Molecule: ribosomal RNA, 486 nt
Filed under: uncultured bacterium
Lineage: Bacteria
Description: partial 16S ribosomal RNA
Rfam family: Bacterial small subunit ribosomal RNA
Source: RNAcentral
GAUGAACGCUGGCGGCGUGCCUAAUACAUGCAAGUCGAACGCUGGAAAUCUAGCUUGCUAGAUUGAAGGAGUGGCGAACGGGUGAGUAAUACAUAAGCAACCUACCCACGAAGACUGGGAUAAUCUCUGGAAACGGGGACUAAUACCGGAUAGGUAAUCGGAAGGCAUCUUCUGAUUAUUAAAGGUUAAAAACACUGGUGGAUGGGCUUAUGGCGCAUUAGUUAGUUGGUGAGGUAACGGCCCACCAAGACGAUGAUGCGUAGCCGGCCUGAGAGGGUGAACGGCCACAUUGGGACUGAGACACGGCCCAGACUCCUACGGGAGGCAGCAGUAGGGAAUUUUCGGCAAGGGGGGAAACCCUGACCGAGCAACGCCGCGUGAGUGAUGACGGCCUUCGGGUUGUAAAGCUCUGUUGUAAGGGAAGAACGGUAGAUAGAGAAUAUCUAAAUGACGGUACCUUACCAGAAAGCCACGGCUAACUACGUG